GACGAACGCUGGCGGCGUGCUUAACACAUGCAAGUCGAACGGAAAGGCCCCAGCUUGCUGGGGUACUCGAGUGGCGAACGGGUGAGUAACACGUGGGUGAUCUGCCCUGCACUCUGGGAUAAGCCUGGGAAACUGGGUCUAAUACCGGAUAGGACCGUGCUUUAGUGUGUGCGGUGGAAAGUUUUUCGGUGCAGGAUGAGCCCGCGGCCUAUCAGCUUGUUGGUGGGGUAAUGGCCUACCAAGGCGGCGACGGGUAGCCGGCCUGAGAGGGUGUACGGCCACAUUGGGACUGAGACACGGCCCAGACUCCUACGGGAGGCAGCAGUGGGGAAUAUUGCACAAUGGGCGCAAGCCUGAUGCAGCGACGCCGGGUGGGGGAUGACGGCCUUCGGGUUGUAAACCCCUUUCGGCAGGGACGAAGCCUUUGUGAGGGUACCUGCAUAAGAGGCACCGGCUAACUACGU
Molecule: ribosomal RNA, 464 nt
Filed under: uncultured bacterium
Lineage: Bacteria
Description: partial 16S ribosomal RNA
Rfam family: Bacterial small subunit ribosomal RNA
Source: RNAcentral